GUUGAGGGUGGGGCACUGUCGGGUGGAACCUUCAGUAGCCAGCCUGGACAGCUAAAGAUUCUCCCUGGGCUCACUGAAGGCACCAGGGACAAGGAGGGAUGCCUGCAAGCAGCUCCCCACAACAGCUAAAGCAGCUCCCUGUGCUCCGAGGCUAUGGGGCCUGGACAGAUGGGCAUGGGGACAAGUUCUGGAAGGACAAAGGAGUUAUAGGACCUCUUUUCAUGGACUUUUUAGGAAGAAUUCUGGCCCCAUACCUCUGCCUUUUGUUGGGAUGAGGCUUAACUACAUCGGGAUGCUAGAGGUUUUGUAAGAACCUGGGAAGAAGUGACAUCACUAUGCUGGAGGAGAUUCUGCCUCUUCAUCUCUUCUCAUCCAUUAUCAGAAACCACAGCACUUAUCACAGGGUCUGACGAGCUGACAUGGUCAA
This is a non-coding RNA of Peromyscus maniculatus bairdii (prairie deer mouse), 427 nucleotides long. The record is from RefSeq and is a predicted model, not a curated record. NCBI's taxonomy places the organism in Eukaryota, Metazoa, Chordata, Mammalia, Rodentia, Cricetidae.